GUAUAUGAGGUGAUUAAUUGGAGGGCAAAUCAAGUGCCAGCAGCCGCGGUAAUACUUGUUCCAAGAGUGUGUAUGAUGAUUGAUGCAGUUAAAAAGUCCGUAGUUUAUUUUUUAAGAAGCAAUAUGAGGUGUACUGUAUAGUUGGGAGAAAGAUGAAAUGUGACGACCCUGACUGGACGAACAGAAGCGAAAGCUGUACACUUGUAUGUAUUUUUUGAACAAGGACGUAAGCUGGAGGAGCGAAGAUGAUUAGAUACCAUUGUAGUUCCAGCAGUAAACUAUGCCGACGAUGUGAUAUGGAAAUGUUAAUUUGUAUUACAUAAUAGAAAUUUGAGUUUUUUGGCUCUGGGGAUAGUAUGAUCGCAAGAUUGAAAAUUAAAGAAAUUGACGGAAGAAUACCACAAGGAGUGGAUUGUGCGGCUUAAUUUGACUCAACGCGAGGUAACUUACCAAUAUUUUAUUGUUUUGAGAGAACGGUUUUUUGUUUGAGAAUGAUAAUAGUGGUGCAUGGCCGUUUUCAAUGGAUGCUGUGAAGUUUUGAUUAAUUUCAACAAGACGUGAGACCCUUAUUUUUUUAUUAAAGACAGACACAAUCAGUGUAGGAAGGAAAGGAUUAAAACAGGUCCGUUAUGCCCUCUGACAUUUUGGGCUGCACGCGCAAUACAAUAGAUAUA
This 674-nucleotide ribosomal RNA is filed under the name Vairimorpha ceranae. Its description in RNAcentral is "SSU rRNA". It matches the Rfam family "Microsporidia small subunit ribosomal RNA", at positions 357 to 1067 of the family's 1311-position model. The record is from RNAcentral. Lineage: Eukaryota; Fungi; Microsporidia; Nosematidae.